CAUUCUUUUUUCCUGCACCCUUUCCCGCCAACCGCAAAUCAGAAUUCGCUCUCAAAUUUAUUAGACCUGAGUUUUUGAGUAGCGUUUUCAAAAUCUUCAAACAGAGAAACAGAGAGCUAAACGAUGGAGCUGAGCCUAAGCGGGAACGCUCUCAAAACCUUUGGUCGUUCGAUCACGUGCCUCGCACGUGUAGGCAACGAGCUUGUCAUCCAAGCUUCUCCUUCUCAGCUUGCACUUCAUACACUCAAUUCGUCAAGGUCGGCCUACCAGUCUAUUACAUUUAAGCCGAAUUUCUUUGAUGUCUAUAGAAUUUCCGGUACUCAAGUACAGUGCAGCGUGCUUUUGAAGGCUGUUUGUUCUGUUCUUAGGACGCCUAUUGCAAGUAUAGAUCACUUGACGGUGAAAUUGGCUGAUCCUGAUUCGUCAAAAAUACAGUGGACUUUGGAAUGCUAUAGUGGUAUGAAAAAAGCAUAUUGGAUUACCUGCAAUGUUGAACCCGACAUACAACAUUUGUCUCUUGAUAGGAGAAGAUUUCCAAGUAACUUGGUAGUGAGGCCUCGUGAUCUAAACAGAUUGCUAGCUAAUUUUCAAUCAUCACUUCAGGAAAUUACCAUCAUUGCAACAGAGCCAACAUCCUUACCUUCUGAUGCUGCAAGUGAAAUAGGCGGAAAAGCUGUUGAGCUUAGAAGUUAUAUAGACCCAACAAAAGACAAUGAUUCAUCGUUGCACACUCAACUCUGGAUUGAUCCUAUGGAAGAGUUUGUGCAGUAUAGUCACACUGGAGAUCCUGUAGACGUUACUUUUAGUGUGAAGGAAUUGAAGGCAUUCCUUACUUUUUGUGAAGGCUGCGAGGUUGACAUACACUUGUUUCUUGACAAAGCGGGCGAGCCAAUCUUAUUGGCACCAAAAUUUGGCCUGGAUGAUGGAUCUGGUUCAAACUUUGAUUCUACACUUGUCCUUGCAACCAUGCUUAUCUCACAGCUACAUGAAGGCAAUCCCUCUGAACCUGCACAGGCAGCUACAACAGUACGUGACCAGGCAAUGAAUGGGACAAGGUCUCAAGCACAACAAGAGAGGUUUAGGGCAAAUGUAUCUGAGCACCCAUCUGACCAUACCAGAAUAUGGUCUGACCUCUCAGGAAGUGCAGCAAAGAGCAGUAAUGGGGUUGAAGAAAGGCAGGUUCUAGGACAGCAGAACUUGAAUGCUAGUGAACAGAGGGAUAUUCAAAGGGUUAGCAUGAUGCAGAUUACAAAAGAUGCAACCAUUAAAGAAAGUGUUCCUGCUGCUCCUACUAUCCGACACCAAGUAGAAAAAGACCAAGUUGCCGGGGUGCAAGAUAGGAACCAGAUUGAUGGGCAUGUGUUAUCACAACAUCAUCCAAGUAACUGGGUAGAUGCAGAUGAGGAUGAUGAUGAUGGGGAUGAGAACGAAAUAUGUGUUCAGUCAACACCACCAUAUUAUGAAGAACAGUAAUAAUCAGUUAAUGGCAGGUCUCUUCAUCUUAAUGCUAGGUUGCUGUUUUCUUUGGUCAGGUGCUGUUCUUCAACGUCUGGAUUCAUUUUAUUCUAAAAAAUUUUCAAGGAUUCAAGUAUGUUUGGGGAGAAAAAUCUACAAGGUCAAAAGGUUAGGACAACUAAAAUUAUUACUAUAUGGGGCUGUUUGUUGAGUCGGAAAGUUAAUGGUAUUUCUUUCAAUUGGUUGUAUCUGUCUCUCUUCGUCAUCUCUUCAUCAUCGUCUUAAUUCCAUCUUAAUCACAAUUAAGAUGAGUAAAUGAUAAGACUUUAGAUAAGAAGAUACCUUAUUUCUGAGGGAACAGAGUAAAAAAGGGAAAAUGUUGUUUUUUUUUAAUAAAAUAGUUUUUAAUUAAAAACUA
Durio zibethinus is the source of this 1873-nucleotide RNA transcript. It is a transcript of the gene named cell cycle checkpoint control protein family, with no coding region annotated. Lineage: Eukaryota; Viridiplantae; Streptophyta; Magnoliopsida; Malvales; Malvaceae. The record is from RefSeq and is a predicted model, not a curated record.